UACGGAGGGUGCUAGCGUUGUUCGGAAUCACUGGGCGUAAAGGGCGUGUAGGCGGUCUGUUAAGUCUGAUGUGAAAUCCCCUCGCUCAACGAGGGAACUGCGUCGGAUACUGGCAGACUUGAGUACCGGAGAGGAAGGUGGAAUUCCCGGUGUAGCGGUGAAAUGCGUAGAUAUCGGAAGGAACAUCAGUGGCGAAGGCGACUUCCUGGACCAAUACUGACGCUCAGGUGCGAAAGCGUGGGGAGCAAACAGG
Molecule: ribosomal RNA, 253 nt
Filed under: uncultured bacterium
Lineage: Bacteria
Description: partial 16S ribosomal RNA
Rfam family: Bacterial small subunit ribosomal RNA
Source: RNAcentral